AGUGAACGCUGGCGGUAGGCCUAACACAUGCAAGUCGAACGGCAGCACAGUAAGAGCUUGCUCUUACGGGUGGCGAGUGGCGGACGGGUGAGGAAUACAUCGGAAUCUACUUUUUCGUGGGGGAUAACGUAGGGAAACUUACGCUAAUACCGCAUACGACCUACGGGUGAAAGCAGGGGAUCUUCGGACCUUGCGCGAUUGAAUGAGCCGAUGUCGGAUUAGCUAGUUGGCGGGGUAAAGGCCCACCAAGGCGACGAUCCGUAGCUGGUCUGAGAGGAUGAUCGGCCGCACUGGAACUGGGACACGGUCCAGGCUCCUACGGGAGGCAGCAGUGGGGAAUAUUGGACAAUGGGCGCAAGCCUGAUCCAGCCAUACCGCGUGGGUGAAGAAGGCCUUCGGGUUGUAAAGCCCUUUUGUUGGGAAAGAAAAGCAGCAGGUUAAUACCCCGCUGUUCUGACGGUACCCAAAGAAUAAGCACCGGCUAACUUCGUG
This 492-nucleotide ribosomal RNA is filed under the name uncultured bacterium. Its description in RNAcentral is "partial 16S ribosomal RNA". It matches the Rfam family "Bacterial small subunit ribosomal RNA", at positions 29 to 507 of the family's 1533-position model. The record is from RNAcentral.